RNAcentral lists this ribosomal RNA (443 nucleotides) under uncultured Clostridium sp. RNAcentral describes it as "bacterial SSU rRNA". It matches the Rfam family "Bacterial small subunit ribosomal RNA", at positions 338 to 795 of the family's 1533-position model. Lineage: Bacteria; Bacillati; Bacillota; Clostridia; Eubacteriales; Clostridiaceae. The record is from RNAcentral.
CCUACGGGGGGCUGCAGUGGGGAAUAUUGGGCAAUGGGGGAAACCCUGACCCAGCAACGCCGCGUGAAGGACGAAGGCCUUCGGGUUGUAAACUUCUUUGAUCAGGGACGAAAGCAAUGACGGUACCUGAAGAACAAGCCACGGCUAACUACGUGCCAGCAGCCGCGGUAAUACGUAGGUGGCGAGCGUUAUCCGGAUUUACUGGGUGUAAAGGGCGUGUAGGCGGGUCAGCAAGUCGGGUGUGAAAUUUCCGGGCUUAACCCGGACGGGUCAUCCGAAACUGCAGAUCUUGAGUGCUGGAGAGGAUAGUGGAAUUCCUGGUGUAGCGGUAAAAUGCGUAGAGAUCAGGAGGAACACCAGUGGCGAAGGCGGCUAUCUGGACAGUAACUGACGCUGAGGCGCGAAAGCGUGGGGAGCAAACAGGAUUAGAUACCCUAGUAGUC